UAGGUGUUAGGCCCNUCCGGGGCUUAGUGCCGCAGCUAACGCAUUAAGCACUCCGCCUGGGGAGUACGACCGCAAGGUUGAAACUCAAAGGAAUUGACGGGGGCCCGCACAAGCGGUGGAGCAUGUGGUUUNAUUNNNANGCAACGCGAAGANCCUUACCAGGUCUUGACAUCCCUCUGACCGCUCUAGAGAUAGAGUUUUCCUUCGGGACAGAGGUGACAGGUGGUGCAUGGUUGUCGUCAGCUCGUGUCGUGAGAUGUUGGGUNNANUNNNNNNNNCGAGCGCAACCCCUAUUGUUAGUUGCCAUCAUUGAGUUGGGCACUCUAGCGAGACUGCCGGUAAUAAACCGGAGGAAGGUGGGGAUGACGUCAAAUCAUCAUGCCCCUUAUGACCUGGGCUACACACGUGCUACAAUGGCAGGUACAACGAGUCGCAAGCCGGUGACGGCAAGCUAAUCUCUGAAAGCCAGUCUCAGUUCGGAUUGUAGGCUGCAACUCGC
RNAcentral lists this ribosomal RNA (499 nucleotides) under uncultured bacterium. RNAcentral's name for it is "partial 16S ribosomal RNA". It matches the Rfam family "Bacterial small subunit ribosomal RNA", at positions 817 to 1315 of the family's 1533-position model. The record is from RNAcentral.